RNAcentral lists this ribosomal RNA (253 nucleotides) under uncultured bacterium. RNAcentral's name for it is "partial 16S ribosomal RNA". It matches the Rfam family "Bacterial small subunit ribosomal RNA", at positions 524 to 776 of the family's 1533-position model. The record is from RNAcentral.
UACAGAGGUCUCAAGCGUUGUUCGGAAUUACUGGGCGUAAAGGGUGCGUAGGCGGCUUUCUAAGUUGGAUGUGAAAACUCUGGGCUCAACCCAGAGCCUGCAUCCAAAACUGGAGAGCUAGGGUUCUGGAGGGGAAAGCGGAAUUCCUGGUGUAGCGGUGAAAUGCGUAGAUAUCAGGAGGAACACCGGUGGCGAAGGCGGCUUUCUGGACAGAUACCGACGCUGAGGCACGAAAGCUAGGGGAGCAAACAGG